Molecule: non-coding RNA, 1650 nt
Organism: Misgurnus anguillicaudatus (oriental weatherfish)
Lineage: Eukaryota; Metazoa; Chordata; Actinopteri; Cypriniformes; Cobitidae
Source: RefSeq, a predicted model, not a curated record
GGCCGGUCCCUUGCCUCAUAUAAAGUUAAAGAAAAGUCUUUGCUCCCCAGGCCGGUCACGCUUCAAAAAGGAGUCUCGCGUCGGGAACCCCCUUCAGACCGUGGAAGACACGGCAUCCAUGGGAAACCUCCUCUCUGUAACUCUACCCAGCACCAUACACCCAGACCUGCACUCUCCCAUCUGAAGUGGCCAGGACCGGUGUGAAUGACUCAUCUUCAAGACGCUCUUAGAUAUAUGCAGUGUCAACCUCUGAAGAAAUGCACCAUGCUACAGGUCACUGUGCUUCAUUUCGGUCUAUAAAAAGCAUCAAAGUGGAACCAGACAUGCUUGUCAACUGAGCCCUUCAGCCCUGAUUGUACUGUAACCAGGCAGCGAACAGUAUCUUGUGGAUAGGUUGUAUAUCUGUCUGGUAAUGUCUGCUGGCCUCCUCUCUCCAUUAACCACGGCACUUCUGGGAAAGCCAUUAGAGAGUUAAGUGAAUGAUCCCGGCAUAAUCGCACCCGCUUCCUGGUCUGAGGAGUGAAAAUGAUCCUAGAAAUAUACAGACGAAGCUGACAGAGUUGCCAGUUGCUGAGAAUGAGCUCAGCUCUGAGUGCUUUACAAUAGCAAUUUGAGGUUUAGUAUCAGACAUGCAAAGACACACGAGAGCUAAUGCAGAUGAGAAGUCUUGGUGCUUAACAAUACAUAUGUGUGUGUAAAAAAAGUCAUUUUUUGUGUUUUCCACAUAAAAUCAUAAGAACAUAUAUACGCUUGGGAUGUACGUAUAAACACUCCACUUUUUUUAAAUAUGCUAAUUUUCAAGCUCCCUUAGAGUUAAACAUUUGAUUUUUACCAUUUUGGAAUCCAUUCAGCUGGUCUCCGGGUCUGGCGCUAGCACUUUUAGCAUAGCUUAGCAUAAUCCAUUGAAUCUGAUUAGACCAUUAGCAUUGCGCUAAAAAAUAACCAAAGAGUUUCGAUAUUUUUAAUUCAGCCGAUCUCCGGGUCUGGCGCUUCUACUUUUAGCAUAGCUUAGCAUAAUACAUUGAAUCUGAUUAGACCAUUAGCAUUGUGCUAAAAAAUAACCAAAGAGUUUCGAUAUUUUUAAUUCAGCCGAUCUCCGGGUCUGGCGCUAGCACUUUUAGCAUAGCUUAGCAUAAUCCAUUGAAUCCGAUUAGACCAUUAGCAUUGCGCUAAAAAAUAACCAAAGAGUUUCAAUAUUUUUAAUUCAGCUGAUCUCCGGGUCUGGCGCUUCUACUUUUAGCAUAGCUUAGCAUAAUACAUUGAAUCUGAUUAGACCAUUAGCAUUGCGCUAAAAAAUAACCAAAGAGUUUCAAUAUUUUUCUUAUUUAAAACUUGACACUUCUGUAGUUACAUCGUGUACUAAGACCAACGGAAAAUUAAAAGUUGCGAUUUUCUAGGCAGAUAUGGCUAGGAACUAUACUCUCAUUCUGGCGUAAUAAUCAAAGACUUUGCUGCUGUAACAUGGCUGCAGCAGGCGCAAUGAUAUUACACAGUGCCCAAAAAUAGUCCCCGCUAUUGAAAGAUACUAAGAGGACUACUUUCGGCCGCUGCGUAAUAUCAUUGCGUCUCCUGCAGCCAUGUUAUGGCAGCAAAGUCCUUGAUUUUUGUUUUUUGAGCAUGAUGCUAAUGGUCUAAUCAGAUUCAAUGGAU